UUAUAACAUACCUUUAUUUUCUUUCAGAAUCGACAUUACAUUUAGUUUUGCGACUACGUGGUGGCGUAAUUGAACCCAGUCUUCGUAUCUUGGCUCAAAAAUACAAUUGUGAUAAAAUGAUAUGUCGCAAGUGUUACGCCCGUCUGCAUCCCAAAGCCACUAACUGUCGCAAGAGGAAAUGCGGACAUUCGAACAACUUGCGCCCUAAGAAGAAGAUCAAGUAGUUCGUUCAUAAUUUGAAAUGAAAAUGUAAUUUCUUGAAUUCAAUAAAUUGAAUCUGAAUUUAACUUGCAUUA
This is a long non-coding RNA of Centruroides sculpturatus (bark scorpion), 296 nucleotides long. RefSeq lists it as uncharacterized. The transcript has 2 exons. The record is from RefSeq and is a predicted model, not a curated record. NCBI's taxonomy places the organism in Eukaryota, Metazoa, Arthropoda, Arachnida, Scorpiones, Buthidae.